Molecule: ribosomal RNA, 490 nt
Filed under: uncultured bacterium
Lineage: Bacteria
Description: partial 16S ribosomal RNA
Rfam family: Bacterial small subunit ribosomal RNA
Source: RNAcentral
AUUGAACGCUGGCGGCAGGCCUAACACAUGCAAGUCGAACGGUAACAGGGAUCAGCUUGCUGAUUCGCUGACGAGUGGCGGACGGGUGAGUAAUGUCUGGGAAACUGCCUGAUGGAGGGGGAUAACUACUGGAAACGGUAGCUAAUACCGCAUAACGUCGCAAGACCAAAGAGGGGGACCUUCGGGCCUCUUGCCAUCGGAUGUGCCCAGAUGGGAUUAGCUAGUAGGUGGGGUAACGGCUCACCUAGGCGACGAUCCCUAGCUGGUCUGAGAGGAUGACCAGCCACACUGGAACUGAGACACGGUCCAGACUCCUACGGGAGGCAGCAGUGGGGAAUAUUGCACAAUGGGCGCAAGCCUGAUGCAGCCAUGCCGCGUGUAUGAAGAAGGCCUUCGGGUCGUAAAGUACUUUCAGCGGGGAGGAAGGGAGUAAAGUUAAUACCUUUGCUCAUUGACGUUACCCGCAGAAGAAGCACCGGCUAACUCCGUG